GGCUCAAGUCAUGGCAGUAAAUUUGUGUCUAUACUCUGCCACUUUACUUUUGGCCUCAAGUCAUUGCGGUAAAGUGGCAGAGUGUAGACACAAAUUUAGGCCUUCUGACUCC
MicroRNA precursor from Macaca mulatta (Rhesus monkey), 112 nucleotides. Ensembl annotates it as mml-mir-4796. The record is from Ensembl. NCBI's taxonomy places the organism in Eukaryota, Metazoa, Chordata, Mammalia, Primates, Cercopithecidae.